GGGACCUUCGGGCCUUGCGCUAUCAGAUGAGCCUAGGUCGGAUUAGCUAGUUGGUGGGGUAAUGGCUCACCAAGGCGACGAUCCGUAACUGGUCUGAGAGGAUGAUCAGUCACACUGGAACUGAGACACGGUCCAGACUCCUACGGGAGGCAGCAGUGGGGAAUAUUGGACAAUGGGCGAAAGCCUGAUCCCCCCCUGCCGCGUGUGUGAAGAAGGUCUUCGGAUUGUAAAGCACUUUAAGUUGGGAGGAAGGGCAGUAAAUUAAUACUUUGCUGUUUUGACGUUACCGACAGAAUAAGCACCUGCUAA
This 309-nucleotide ribosomal RNA is filed under the name uncultured bacterium. RNAcentral describes it as "bacterial SSU rRNA". It matches the Rfam family "Bacterial small subunit ribosomal RNA", at positions 195 to 500 of the family's 1533-position model. The record is from RNAcentral.